CAGUAGCCACGGUAAAACGAAGGGGGCUAGCGUUGCUCGGAAUUACUGGGCGUAAAGGGCGCGUAGGCGGCACUGUUAGUCAGGCGUGAAAUUCCCGGGCUCAACCUGGGGACUGCGCUUGAUACGGCAGAGCUUGAGGAUGGAAGAGGGUCGUGGAAUUCCCAGUGUAGCGGUGAAAUGCGUAGAGAUCGGGAGGAACAUCAGUGGCGAAGGCGGCCAUCUGGGACAACACUGACGCUGAAGCACGAAAGCGUGUGGAGCAAACAGGAUUAGAUACCCCUGUAGUCCCUGUCUCUUAUAA
Molecule: ribosomal RNA, 301 nt
Filed under: uncultured bacterium
Lineage: Bacteria
Description: partial 16S ribosomal RNA
Rfam family: Bacterial small subunit ribosomal RNA
Source: RNAcentral